UCCGAGUUGACCCCGGCAGUCUCCCAUGAGUUCCCACCAUUACGUGCUGGCAACAUAGAACGAGGGUUGCGCUCGUUGCGGGACUUAACCCAACAUCUCACGACACGAGCUGACGACAACCAUGCACCACCUGUAUACCGACCUUGCGGGGAGACUAUUUCUAGCCUUUUCCGGUGCAUGUCAAGCCCUGGUAAGGUUCUUCGCGUCGCAUCGAAUUAAACCACAUGCUCCGCUGCUUGUGCGGGCCCCCGUCAAUUCCUUUGAGUUUUAGCCUUGCGGCCGUACUCCCCAGGCGGGGUGCUUAAUGCGUUAGCUGCGGCACGGGAGGAGUCGACACCUCCCACACCUAGCACCCAUCGUUUACGGCGUGGACUAC
This 376-nucleotide unclassified non-coding RNA is filed under the name uncultured Actinomycetes bacterium. Its description in RNAcentral is "uncultured actinobacterium contains 16S-23S intergenic spacer region". Lineage: Bacteria; Bacillati; Actinomycetota; Actinomycetes. The record is from RNAcentral.